RNAcentral lists this small RNA (132 nucleotides) under Salmonella enterica. RNAcentral describes it as "RtT sRNA". It matches the Rfam family "RtT RNA". Rfam says of the family: This family represents a bacterial cis-regulatory element known as RtT RNA. The exact function of RtT is unknown although it is thought that it may be involved in changing the cellular response in relation to amino acid starvation. The record is from RNAcentral. Lineage: Bacteria; Pseudomonadati; Pseudomonadota; Gammaproteobacteria; Enterobacterales; Enterobacteriaceae.
GUUUGCACUUAUCGGGGAAGGGUGAGAACCUUCGAUUAAGGUUCGACUCGAGCGAAAGCGAGAGAACGUUGCCAACGGCAACGGCCCGUAGGGUGAGGAGCAAAGCGACGAAUAAUCCUUCCCCCACCACCA